GCGGCUGAGGCCCCGUGCGGGAAGGCGGCCCCGCGGGGACACGCGGGAACACGCGCGGUCCGCAGAGGGGCGCGCGUUUGCAGGUGGAGGCGGGUGGCCGAGGAACCCAGCGGGGCGGCGGGGAGCGGCUGGCCUCUUCCCUGCUGCGGCCCAGGGGGCCGGCGGAGAGUGGUGGUGGUGGCCCUCGUGGCAUUCGGGGUCCCCGUGGGGAAGGAGCUGAGCGUGGUUUCCUGCGUCGCGGGCUCCAGGACCGCCCCUCCCAGUGCCUCAUUCACCUCACACUGCGGUGCGUUUGUCCUGGGGAAGUUGAGCGGGCCGUGGAGUGGACGGUAUGUGUC
This 338-nucleotide long non-coding RNA is filed under the name Rattus norvegicus (Norway rat). RNAcentral's name for it is "long non-coding RNA NONRATT027452". Lineage: Eukaryota; Metazoa; Chordata; Mammalia; Rodentia; Muridae. The record is from RNAcentral.